GUAGUAGAGCUCGAGACCCAUUCCAUCGUGGAUCUCAUAGUCCCUAAGAGUGAUAUGAUCCUUGUACACGGUAUACCACUUCUGUAUCCUAAUCUUCUCGGCUCUGGUGCCGGUCUGCGCCGCCACCAGUUUCUUCAGGUCGCCGAUAGUAUCAUCCUCAUUACACUUGACUCUCACCUUCUUCCCCAGCCGAUCGUUCAACACCACCUCCAAC
This 214-nucleotide unclassified non-coding RNA is filed under the name Hevea brasiliensis (rubber tree). Lineage: Eukaryota; Viridiplantae; Streptophyta; Magnoliopsida; Malpighiales; Euphorbiaceae. The record is from RNAcentral.